AACGCACGAGACCUGCGGACCUGCGGAGGGAUCAUUACAGAGUUAUCUAACUCCCAAACCCAUGUGAACUUACCUUUGUUGCCUCGGCAGUAGUUGCUGGGCGAGCCUACCCGGGAACGAGCUACCCUGUAGCGAGUUACCCUGGAACGACUUACCCUGUAACGCCUGCCGGUGGACUACUAAACUCUUGUUAUUUUUAAAGUAAUCUGAGCGUCUUAUUUUAAUAAGUCAAAACUUUCA
RNAcentral lists this unclassified non-coding RNA (240 nucleotides) under soil metagenome. Its description in RNAcentral is "partial contains 5.8S ribosomal RNA, internal transcribed spacer 2, and large subunit ribosomal RNA". The record is from RNAcentral.